RNAcentral lists this ribosomal RNA (1365 nucleotides) under uncultured bacterium. RNAcentral's name for it is "partial 16S ribosomal RNA". It matches the Rfam family "Bacterial small subunit ribosomal RNA", at positions 28 to 1365 of the family's 1533-position model. The record is from RNAcentral.
GACGAACUUUGGCGGCGUGCCUAACACAUGCAAGUCGAGCGAAAAUAUACUGGUGCUUGGCCCGGAAAAACUUACCGGGGAACGGGUGAGAAACACAUAAAGACCCUGUCUCAUAGAGUGGGACAACUAUUGCAGACGAUACCGCAUACAGGAUAACCGCACCACCGGCCUGGUGGAUGGUGAAAAAAAGGGUAUGCUCACCCUAUGAGAUGGCUUCGGAGUGCAUGAGCGAGUCUGGAGGGGCAAAGGCCUGGCAAGGCGACCAUGCAUACCCGAACCGAGAGGGUGAUCGGCCACACUGGCACUGACACACGACCCGAAAUCCUACGGGAAGCACCAGUGGGGAAUCUUCCGCAGAGGGCUAAAGCCUGACCGAGCGACGCAGCGAGAGAGACCAAGGAUUUCAGGACGGCCAGCGCUGUGGAUAGGGAAGAAAGACUGUGAAAAAACUACACGCAGUAAAAACCGAACCAAACCAGACAAGCCCGGGGCUAACUACCUGCCAUCAGCCGCGGUAAUACGCAGGUGGAAAGCGUAGCCCGGAAGCAUUGGGCGGAAAGCGCGCGCAGGUGGCUUACUAAGGCUGAUGCGAAAGCCCACCGUACAACCGUGGAGGGUCAUCGAAAACUGUUAUACUUGCGGGCAGGAGAGAGAAGCGGAAAUCAUAGUGUAACUCCGAAAGGCGCAGAGAUUAGGAGGAACACCAGUGACAAAGGCGGCUGUUAGGGCCGAUACUGGACACGAAGCGCAAAACCGUGGGGAAAAACCAGGAUUAGAUACCUGGGUAGUCCCCGCCGUAAACGAUGAGUGCUAAGUGUUGGUGUCAUAAGAGACCAUUGGUGCAGGUGACGCAUCAAUCAGUCCGCCUGGGGAGUAGGACCGCGCGGGUGUUACUCAUCAGGAGGUGUCGGGGGGCCGCACAACCGGCGGAGCAGUGUGGUGGAAUUAGUAGCAACGCGAAGAACCUCCCCAAGUGGUGUCGUCCUGGGAGGCCACAAGCGGAAGUGUGGUUCUGUCCUUUGGGUGGACACAGAUCCGGGGGGGGCAGGGUGGUGUUCAGUUGGGGUGGGGGGAGGUGGGGUUAUGUCCGGCAAGGGGGGCACCCCUUACAUUUGGUGCCCGCCAGUAAGGGGGGGGCUCUAGAUGGGCUGCCAGCGGUCAAUUGGGGGGAGGGGGGGAUGGCGUCAAAUCCUCCUGCCCCUUAUGGCUUGGGGUUCCCCCGUGCUACAAUGGGUUGGCACAAAGGGGAGGGAGCUGGGGGGAGUAGGCAAACCUCCCAAAACUCUUCUCCGUUCGGAAUGGCGUGUGCAACUUGGCUUCCGGGAGCCGGGAUCGGUUGGAUUCCAAAGCCGGCUGUCGCGGGGA